CCUACGGGUGGCAGCAGUGAGGAAUAUUGGUCAAUGGGCGCGAGCCUGAACCAGCCAAGUAGCGUGAAGGAUGACUGCCCUACGGGUUGUAAACUUCUUUUAUAAAGGAAUAAAGUGAGGCACGUGUGCCUUUUUGUAUGUACUUUAUGAAUUAGGAUCGGCUUACUCCGUGCCAGCAGCCGCGGUAAUACGGUGGAUCCGAGGGUUAUCCGGAUUUGUUGGGUUUAAAGGGAGUGUAUAUGGGUUGUUAAGUCAGUUGUGAAAGUUUGGGGCUCAACCGUAAAAUUGCAAUUGAUACUGGCAGCCUUGAGUACAAUUGAGGUAGGCGGAAUUCGUGGUGUAGCGGUGAAAUGCUUAGAUAUCACGAAGAACUCCGAUUGCGAAGGCAGCCUACUAAGCUGCCACUGACAUUGAUGCUCGAAAGUGUGGGUAUCAAACAGGAUUAGAUACCCGAGUAGUC
Molecule: ribosomal RNA, 460 nt
Filed under: uncultured bacterium
Lineage: Bacteria
Description: partial 16S ribosomal RNA
Rfam family: Bacterial small subunit ribosomal RNA
Source: RNAcentral